GGGGAUGUGGCUUAGUGGUAAAGUACUUGCCUAGCAUGCAUGAGGCCCUGGGUUCAAUUCCUCAGUACCA
This 70-nucleotide transfer RNA is filed under the name Dipodomys ordii (Ord's kangaroo rat). It matches the Rfam family "tRNA". Rfam says of the family: Transfer RNA (tRNA) molecules are approximately 80 nucleotides in length. Lineage: Eukaryota; Metazoa; Chordata; Mammalia; Rodentia; Heteromyidae. The record is from Rfam by way of RNAcentral.